AUCCCUCCCAACAAGGACGACCGCAUCCCCCGCGCUCGCUUCUCCAUGUCUCCCAACGGGGACAACCGCAUCGUCGACUGCCGCCACGGACUUGUACUUUUCCUCGGCCGCGGCCCGCCGCACCACCUACUUGUGUGGGACCCCGUCGCCCGCGAGCAGCGCCGCCUGUUCCUCCCACCAGAGCUGGACUUCUUCAACGCAGCGGUGCUUCGCCCUACCCGUGGCCAUUUCCAGGUGGCCCUGAUAACAUAUGCAGGAAUGACAAGAUUUUCCGCAUGCCUUUACUCAUCGGAGACUGGCAUAUGGGGCAAUAUCAACUCACUGGAGCUGGAAUCGUAUAUACUACCUUUGGAAGGAGCCAGUACUUUGAUUGGGAAUUCCUUUUGCUGGUUACUUACGGGUCGUUAUCGCCAUGUCAUACUUGAGUUUGAUCUGGAUACACAGAGCCUAGCUGUGACAGAGCUGCCACCACUCGAAGGCGACCAAGAAUUAAGGAUUGUACCUGCCCAAGAUGGUGGGCUUGGCUUCAUCCAUGUCUCACAAUUCCAUGCCCAAUUAUGGAAGAGAAAGCCUGAUUCUGAUGGUUUGGCUUUGGCUGUAUGGGUGCUCGAUAAAGCUAUUGAAUUUGAGGAGCUCAGAUCAACUUACAAGGGAGACUCCAUCACUUUAGUGGGGUUUGCUGAGGAGAGUAAUGCAGUCCUUGCACUGACAGUUUCUGGUGUCUUCAUGGUCAACCUCCAGUCAGUGGAGUUUAAGAAAAUUUCCAAUGUGAGGUCCAAUUUUUCCUAUUAUCCAUUUGCAUGUUGCUAUGCUGCAAGUAAUAACAAGCCUUCAUAUAAUUUACUUCACAGUGUUAUAAAUAAAUUU
This 867-nucleotide ribosomal RNA is filed under the name Triticum aestivum (bread wheat). Its description in RNAcentral is "partial small subunit ribosomal RNA". The record is from RNAcentral. Lineage: Eukaryota; Viridiplantae; Streptophyta; Magnoliopsida; Poales; Poaceae.